UGAUUGGAUGCGCGUGCAGGGUAGUACAGCUCACGUGACCGCCACCGCCAUUCCGGAUUUCGCCGCCGCGCUCCUGAGAAUAAUACCAGGGUGCCCAGCCGGCGAAGAGGCUAAUCGGAGCUAGCGCCCCCGCGCCGUGGCCGUCGCCGUUGGUUCCUUCUCCCACCCCUUUGUGCCUCUGCUGCCUCCGGCCUCCGGCUGUGUGCUGAACCCAAAUCCAACCCAUAGGUACGGCGGUAGCGCUCUCGGAACCAAGGCGAGCAGACACUGGGGUCGUUGCUGGCGGCGGCGGUGGGUGGUGGGCUCAUGCGUUGCGAUGCUGGGCUCUGUGGGCUAUGCUGUCUACUGCACGUAAACCGCGGUUCGGGCAGCUAGCGCAGUAGCACUCACCGCAUGUUAAAAGAGUAAAGUCCAUUUCAAACCCGGUUGUAGAACCCAAUCGAAUUUUGACCUGCAAAUCACUGAAUUUGAACUUAGCACCUUGAAUUUUCUAAUCCUGGUCAUUAGUGUCCUUAAGUGGUUUGCCAAACUGGGAUCCAUGAUCCCACACCCACCAAACUGUUCAGAAUGAAUACUUCAGAAGAAAAAAAAGACAAAAAAGAGACUUGAUCAAAAUUGAUACCAAUGAGAGAAAUUAACUGGAAAUUGAGUUUAUCAACGCAUCCACAUAGGCAUAAUACUUUCUUCCAAGAUUUCGCGGACUCCAUGAAAUCCACCUCGUGGCCUUCACGCCAUGCGCAAAGACAGUACUUCGUUGGCUCAUACUCCAUCGGAUCUUCACGAUACGGCACCAGCGAACGCCUAUCUCCCACGGUGCCUCUCACCCAUCGACGACCGCCGCUCGACACACACCCGGAUGACAUCUCCACCGCCGCCGCCGCCGACUGCGGGGCGCCUAGUUUUUGUCCUGGAAAUGCAAACUGUUAGUUUCUUAUUUUGAAGCGGUAAACCUUCUUAUCCAGCAUGGCCUAAACAAUCCCAGCUUAGACCCUGCCACGUCAGCAAUCCCGAGGCUAAUCCUACUUAAGGGCACUAAUGACCGGGAUUUGAGAGUUCAGGGUGCUAAGUUCAGGGAUUUGCAGGUUAGGGUUCGAUUGAGUCCACCUCUACAAGCACAGGGUUUAAAAUGGACUUUACUCUCUUUAAAAAGUCAAAAUUUAAUUGGCACACGCGU
This 1174-nucleotide long non-coding RNA is filed under the name Brachypodium distachyon (stiff brome). RNAcentral describes it as "long non-coding RNA (BDIS_LNC003814)". Lineage: Eukaryota; Viridiplantae; Streptophyta; Magnoliopsida; Poales; Poaceae. The record is from RNAcentral.